Molecule: long non-coding RNA, 1333 nt
Filed under: Gossypium barbadense (sea-island cotton)
Lineage: Eukaryota; Viridiplantae; Streptophyta; Magnoliopsida; Malvales; Malvaceae
Description: long non-coding RNA (GBAR_LNC005885)
Source: RNAcentral
AAGGAGUUAAUAGUAAUGCAGCGUGAUUGGGAAGGGCUUUCUACAUAAAUAUGGCUUUUUAGGCGCUUUAGCACAGUCCUGGGUUCCCAAACGGGUUGAGGCGCGGGUUCUCCCCUCCUCUCAUAUGGCACCGUUUCAAAAUUAGGUCAUUUAAGACCCUUUUUCUUUCUGCAUCUUCCCUAAAACACAGUCCCAAUUGUAGCCGAGAAACACAGCCUGGGAACUAAGUUUCUUGGUUUUUUUGGCAGCCGAAUCACCAUUACUUUGGUGACCAUCUACAUGCAAAAAGUACCCGUUUUCCCUGUUGAAGACACUUGAACAAGUUUUAAAAGGGUUUAGUAAGUAUCUUUCUCCUCUCCUUCUUUGUUUGAAUGAAAUAUUCGAAUCUCUCAUUAUUAUUUUUUUUUAAAAUGGAUGCAGAUUUGUAAAGUAAAAUGCUACUUGACCUCUCGCCAUUAUAUCCGCAUAGCAGAAAUAUUUGUGGCUUUCAUCGGUUUUUAGUUGUAUGUAAUAACAAUGAGUAAAUUAAGAAGAAAAUAAAAAAUCGGAAGAAAAAAGCGAAAAGUAUGAAAUCACCUCUGAUCUUUGUAUUCAAUCUCUGUAUAUUUUUUCCUUUUUUUUCUUUUUACAACUGAUUCGCUGCUUCGCUUUUAUAGCCGAAGAGAAAAAAGAAAGAAAAAAUGGAAAAUAAAUUCCAAAUACAAUUCUCGUUCCCUUCCAUUUGUUGUUCUGCCAUUUUUGUUUGUAUUUGCUGUUGUGUUUGUACUUCUUGCAGGUAUAGGGUGCGUUGGCAUCGUACGGAGACUGUGCUGGUGUACGAGGGCUGUUGACGUGGUUGCUGGAGGGGUUGUACGGCGCCUGGAGGUUGCGGAGGGCUGCUACGGCACAAAGGGGAAAGCUGCUAGGGUUUCUCGGUUUAGACAUUGGGCCUAUUGGGCCUUGAAGCUUUGGACUGUUUUGUAAAUGGGCUAGGGUAUUAAUUUUAGUGGGCUGUUUGGGCUUGUAAUAGGUCACUAACUAAAUGGACCUUAUUUUAUUUAUUUAUUUAUUUGUAUAUAUUUUAUAUGUAUAUAUGUGAUUGGGGUUUUAGCGAGCCCGGGCCGAAAUUGGUCAUUACAUGUAUUAAUAAAAUAAAAUACUGAAUUUUAAAAAGUUGACUGAUUUUGCCUUCUGAAUUUUUAAAAGUUAGAAAUUCAACUUUACUUAUCAACAAUUAUAAAAUUGGAAAUUAACUCGUUACACAAAUCGAAAAUUUUUUAUAUCUAGGUUUAAGUCUCUUUAUUAAGACUUUUUUCUUGAAAACUUAGAUGUAAAUUGAACAACAAUAUUUUAC